AGGACGAACGCUUGCGACGUGCCUAAGAAAUGCAAGUCGAACGGAAUUACCUUCGGGUAGUUUAGUGGCGAACGGUCGCGUAACACGUAGGCAACCUGCCCUGAAGCGGGGGACAACAACUCGAAAGAGUUGCUAAUACCGCAUGUGUAUCGGAAUGGCAUCAUUCAGGAUACAAAGGACUUCGGUUCACUUCAGGAUGGGCCUGCGGCCUAUCAGCUUGUUGGUGAGGUAAUGGCUCACCAAGGCUUCGACGGGUAGCUGGUCUGAGAGGACGAUCAGCCGGAUUGGGACUGAGAUACGGCCCAGACUCCUACGGGGGGCAGCAAUUAGGAAUCUUGCGCAAUGGGCGAAAGCCUGACGCAGCGACGUCGCGUGAAGGAUGAAAUCUUUCGGGAUGUAAACUUCUUUUACCAGGGAAGAAACAAAUGACGGUACCUGGUGAAUAACGCCCGGCUAACUACGUGCCAGCAGCCGC
This 475-nucleotide ribosomal RNA is filed under the name uncultured bacterium. RNAcentral's name for it is "SSU rRNA". It matches the Rfam family "Bacterial small subunit ribosomal RNA", at positions 26 to 518 of the family's 1533-position model. The record is from RNAcentral.